This 252-nucleotide ribosomal RNA is filed under the name uncultured bacterium. Its description in RNAcentral is "partial 16S ribosomal RNA". It matches the Rfam family "Bacterial small subunit ribosomal RNA", at positions 524 to 775 of the family's 1533-position model. The record is from RNAcentral.
UACGAAGGGGGCUAGCGUUGCUCGGAAUGACUGGGCGUAAAGGGCGCGUAGGCGGAUGGCACAGUCAGAUGUGAAAUUCCCGGGCUUAACCUGGGGGCUGCAUUUGAUACGUGUUGUCUUGAGUUCGGAAGAGGGUCGUGGAAUUCCCAGUGUAGAGGUGAAAUUCGUAGAUAUUGGGAAGAACACCGGUGGCGAAGGCGGCGACCUGGUCCGACACUGACGCUGAGGCGCGAAAGCUAGGGGAGCAACAGG